This 505-nucleotide ribosomal RNA is filed under the name uncultured bacterium. RNAcentral's name for it is "partial 16S ribosomal RNA". It matches the Rfam family "Bacterial small subunit ribosomal RNA", at positions 28 to 507 of the family's 1533-position model. The record is from RNAcentral.
GACGAACGCUGGCGGCGUGCCUAAUACAUGCAAGUAGAACGCACAGUUUAUACCGUAGCUUGCUACACCAUAGACUGUGAGUUGCGAACGGGUGAGUAACGCGUAGGUAACCUGCCUGGUAGCGGGGGAUAACUAUUGGAAACGAUAGCUAAUACCGCAUAAUAUUAAUUAUUGCAUGAUAAUUGAUUGAAAGAUGCAACUGCAUCACUACCAGAUGGACCUGCGUUGUAUUAGCUAGUAGGUGAGGUAACGGCUCACCUAGGCGACGAUACAUAGCCGACCUGAGAGGGUGAUCGGCCACACUGGGACUGAGACACGGCCCAGACUCCUACGGGAGGCAGCAGUAGGGAAUCUUUGGCAAUGGACGAAAGUCUGACCGAGCAACGCCGCGUGAGUGAAGAAGGUUUUCGGAUCGUAAAGCUCUGUUGUAAGAGAAGAACGGGUGUGAGAGUGGAAAGUUCACACUGUGACGGUAUCUUACCAGAAAGGGACGGCUAACUACGUG